GUACGGGAGGCAGCAGUGAGGAAUAUUGCACAAUGGGCGAAAGCCUGAUGCAGCAACGCCGCGUGAGGGACGAAGGCCUUCGGGUCGUAAACCUCUUUUCUGAGGGAAGAGACAGGACGGUACCUCAGGAAUAAGUCUCGGCUAACUACGUGCCAGCAGCCGCGGUAAAACGUAGGAGGCGAGCGUUAUCCGGAUUUACUGGGCGUAAAGCGCACGCAGGCGGCUUCGUCAGUCGGAUGUGAAAGCUCCUGGCUUAACUGGGAGAGGCCAUUCGAUACUGCGGGGCUUGAGGUUGGGAGAGGGGUGUGGAAUUCCCGGUGUAGUGGUGGAAUGCGUAGAUAUCGGGAGGAACACCAGUGGCGAAGGCGGCACCCUGGCCCACACCUGACGCUGAGGUGCGAAAGCGUGGGUAGCAAACAGGAUUAGAUACCCUGGUAGU
This 439-nucleotide ribosomal RNA is filed under the name uncultured bacterium. RNAcentral describes it as "bacterial SSU rRNA". It matches the Rfam family "Bacterial small subunit ribosomal RNA", at positions 339 to 794 of the family's 1533-position model. The record is from RNAcentral.